GGAUCCAGACUUUGAUCAUGGCUCAGGAUGAACGCUAGCUACAGGCUUAACACAUGCAAGUCGAGGGGAAACGACAUCGAAAGCUUGCUUUUGAUGGGCGUCGACCGGCGCACGGGUGAGUAACGCGUAUCCAACCUGCCCACCACUUGGGGAUAACCUUGCGAAAGUAAGACUAAUACCCAAUGACGUCCCUAGAAGACAUCUGAAAGAGAUUAAAGAUUUAUCGGUGAUGGAUGGGGAUGCGUCUGAUUAGCUUGUUGGCGGGGUAACGGCCCACCAAGGCAACGAUCAGUAGGGGUUCUGAGAGGAAGGUCCCCCACAUUGGAACUGAGACACGGUCCAAACUCCUACGGGAGGCAGCAGUGAGGAAUAUUGGUCAAUGGACGAGAGUCUGAACCAGCCAAGUAGCGUGCAGGAUGACGGCCCUAUGGGUUGUAAACUGCUUUUAUAAGGGAAUAAAGUGAGUCUCGUGAGACUUUUUGCAUGUACCUUAUGAAUAAGGACUGGCUAAUUCCGUGCCAGCAGCCGCGGUAAUACGGAAGGUCCGGGCGUUAUCCGGAUUUAUUGGGUUUAAAGGGAGCGUAGGCCGGAGAUUAAGCGUGUUGUGAAAUGUAGACGCUCAACGUCUGCACUGCAGCGCGAACUGGUUUCCUUGAGUACGCACAAAGUGGGCGGAAUUCGUGGUGUAGCGGUGAAAUGCUUAGAUAUCACGAAGAACUCCGAUUGCGAAGGCAGCUCACUGGAGCGCAACUGACGCUGAAGCUCGAAAGUGCGGGUAUCGAACAGGAUUAGAUACCCUGGUAGUCCGCACGGUAAACGAUGGAUGCCCGCUGUUGGUCUGAAUAGGUCAGCGGCCAAGCGAAAGCAUUAAGCAUCCCACCUGGGGAGUACGCCGGCAACGGUGCAACUCA
Molecule: ribosomal RNA, 911 nt
Filed under: uncultured Bacteroidota bacterium
Lineage: Bacteria; Pseudomonadati; Bacteroidota
Description: bacterial SSU rRNA
Rfam family: Bacterial small subunit ribosomal RNA
Source: RNAcentral